AGGGUUCGAUUAUGGCUCAGAACGAACGCUGGCGGCAGGCCUAAUACAUGCAAGUCGAGCGCACCUUCGGGUGAGCGGCGGACGGGUUAGUAACGCGUGGGAAUAUGCCCAAAGGUACGGAAUAGCCUCUGGAAACGGAGAGUAAUACCGUAUGUGCCCUUCGGGGGAAAGAUUUAUCGCCUUUGGAUUAGCCCGCGUUGGAUUAGGUAGUUGGUGGGGUAAUGGCCUACCAAGCCUACGAUCCAUAGCUGGUUUGAGAGGAUGAUCAGCAACACUGGGACUGAGACACGGCCCAGACUCCUACGGGAGGCAGCAGUAGGGAAUCUUAGACAAUGGGCGAAAGCCUGAUCUAGCCAUGCCGCGUGAGUGAAGAAGGCCCUAGGGUCGUAAAGCUCUUUCGCCAGGGAUGAUAAUGACAGUACCUGGUAAAGAAACCCCGGCUAACUCCGUGCCAGCAGCCGCGGUAAUACGGAGGGGGUUAGCGUUGUUCGGAAUUACUGGGGCGUAAAGCGUACGUAGGCGGAUUAGUCAGUCAGAGGUGAAAUCCCAGGGCUCAACCCUGGAACUGCCUUUGAUACUGCUAGUCUUGAGUUCGAGAGAGGUGAGUGGAAUUCCAAGUGUAGAGGUGAAAUUCGUAGA
This 639-nucleotide ribosomal RNA is filed under the name uncultured bacterium. RNAcentral's name for it is "bacterial SSU rRNA". It matches the Rfam family "Bacterial small subunit ribosomal RNA", at positions 8 to 694 of the family's 1533-position model. The record is from RNAcentral.